GCAAUAGUAGCUCAGU
This 16-nucleotide transfer RNA is filed under the name Philypnodon grandiceps (flathead gudgeon). RNAcentral's name for it is "partial tRNA-Thr". The record is from RNAcentral. Lineage: Eukaryota; Metazoa; Chordata; Actinopteri; Gobiiformes; Eleotridae.